GACGAACGCUGGCGGCGUGCUUAACACAUGCAAGUCGAACGGUAAGGCCCUUCGGGGUACACGAGUGGCGAACGGGUGAGUAACACGUGGGUGAUCUGCCCUGCACUUCGGGAUAAGCCUGGGAAACUGGGUCUAAUACCGGAUAGGACCCUGGGAUGCAUGUCCUGGGGUGGAAAGCUUUUGCGGUGUGGGAUGGGCCCGCGGCCUAACAGCUUGUUGGGGGGGUGAUGGCCUACCAAGGCGACGACGGGUAGCCGGCCUGAGAGGGUGACCGGCCACACUGGGACUGAGAUGCGGCCCAGACUCCUACGGGAGGCAGCAGUGGGGAAUAUUGCACAAUGGGCGCAAGCCUGAUGCAGCGACGCCGCGUGAGGGAUGACGGCCUUCGGGUUGUAAACCUCUUUCAGCACCGACGAAGCGCAAGUGACGGUAGGUGCAGAAGAAGGACCGGCCAACUACGUGCCAGCCGCCGCAGUAA
Molecule: ribosomal RNA, 478 nt
Filed under: uncultured bacterium
Lineage: Bacteria
Description: partial 16S ribosomal RNA
Rfam family: Bacterial small subunit ribosomal RNA
Source: RNAcentral